Molecule: non-coding RNA, 73 nt
Organism: Potamilus streckersoni
Lineage: Eukaryota; Metazoa; Mollusca; Bivalvia; Unionida; Unionidae
Source: the annotation of a GenBank genome assembly
GCUCCUGUGGUUUAAUGGUAAGAGCGCCCGCUUCGGAUGCGGGAGGUCGUGGCUUCGAACCCAGGUUGAGUCA